AAUAAAGUGGCUGAGUUUAGGCGGUGAAUUGUAAAUUCAUAAACAAGUGUUACUUCUUUAUUA
This 63-nucleotide transfer RNA is filed under the name Lophopotamon yenyuanense. RNAcentral describes it as "tRNA-Tyr". It matches the Rfam family "tRNA". From Rfam's summary of the family: Transfer RNA (tRNA) molecules are approximately 80 nucleotides in length. Lineage: Eukaryota; Metazoa; Arthropoda; Malacostraca; Decapoda; Potamidae. The record is from RNAcentral.